This 315-nucleotide ribosomal RNA is filed under the name Klebsiella pneumoniae. RNAcentral's name for it is "partial 16S ribosomal RNA". It matches the Rfam family "Bacterial small subunit ribosomal RNA", at positions 1228 to 1533 of the family's 1533-position model. Lineage: Bacteria; Pseudomonadati; Pseudomonadota; Gammaproteobacteria; Enterobacterales; Enterobacteriaceae. The record is from RNAcentral.
CAAUGGUUGGUACAACGAGUCGCAAGUCGGUGACGGCAAGCAAAUCUCUUAAAGCCAAUCUCAGUUCGGAUUGUAGGCUGCAACUCGCCUACAUGAAGUCGGAAUCGCUAGUAAUCGCGGAUCAGCACGCCGCGGUGAAUACGUUCCCGGGCCUUGUACACACCGCCCGUCACACCACGAGAGUUUGUAACACCCGAAGUCGGUGAGGUAACCUUUUAGGAGCCAGCCGCCUAAGGUGGGAGAGAUGAUUGGGGUGAAGUCGUAACAAGGUAGCCGUAUCGGAAGGUGCGGCUGGAUCACCUCCUUUCUAAGGAA